GACAUCCAGUGCUACCUCCACCAUUCUUUCAGAUAACUGUGUCUCAGUGCGUCCACCUCCAGAGACUUACAACUCCUGCUCGCAAACUCCUGUUCCAGAAAGCUGCAUUGCCACCUGCAUCAGCUGACAGCAAAAAGACACAGCAGAUUCAUGCAGAUACAUGCAGCACGAGCCUCCACCUCCACCUCCUGUCACUAAGCCAAAGUCGCUGCUUUCACUUGAAGAUUCUGGGGCUCAAAAUUCAGAGACUUUCAACACCCUGCAGUCGCCACCUCCUCUCGUCUACAGCAGACACCACCUGCAGCUCCAUCCUUCACGAACAGUCACCAUUUCCCUCUUCCUGAAAACUUCACAUAGAUGACGUCUCCCUUCUUCAGUCUUCGGUAGCCAAAGUCCAACAAGCUGCAGACACAGCUGAUUCAACAAACAUGAGCUGAUGGAUCACUGAGGUUCCUAAUAACAUCACCAAAGAGUCUCCUGGCCAGCUGCCAAUCAUGGUGAAAUGAUUUGGCAUGUCAGCAAAAGACUUCACAGAAGAUCAUGAUCGUGGUUCUCUGUGGUUGCUGUCAUACCUGUGAGCCCUGCCUUUGCUUUGUCAUCUGGAUUAUUUGUUUGGACCAUUUUUACCUUGACUCCCAGCUGCCUGUUGUUUCCUUCUGUUCCUCUUUAAAAAUACUUUAAUUAAACUUUCCUUCCUUCACUUUAUCCCUCCCUCUGCGUCUGCAUUUUGGGUCCCGAUCUUUGAUCUGACUCUAACAGAAUAGCAAAAGUCCUCAGAUAAAAAUAAAACUGUCCAAAACACAGUAAACCAUAUUUAAAACAGAAUAAGACCUGACAGAUAAGGUGAGACAGAAGGUUCUAACAGACUGAGAGAGCACAAUUAAAAGCUCAGGUACUUUGUGAAGCUGUUGGAGGUGUCGUAUGUAAGAAAAAAUGCAUUGUCAGUGGCAGAAGACAAUUAUUUUUAUUUUAGACUACUGACUGUACAACGUUCAGUGUUCAACAGUCAUUGAAAUUCAUGUUCAUGAAGAAAAUCGAGUUAAUGAAGCCAUCUCAU
Scatophagus argus is the source of this 1057-nucleotide long non-coding RNA. RefSeq lists it as uncharacterized. NCBI's taxonomy places the organism in Eukaryota, Metazoa, Chordata, Actinopteri, Scatophagidae. The transcript has 3 exons. The record is from RefSeq and is a predicted model, not a curated record.